CUGGCUCAGGAUGAACGCUAGCUACAGGCUUAACACAUGCAAGUCGAGGGGCAGCAUGGGAUAGCUUGCUAUUCAGAUGGCGACCGGCGCACGGGUGAGUAACGCGUAUCCAACCUUCCUGCCAGUAGGGAACAGCCCGGCGAAAGUCGGAUUAAUGCCCUAUGUUCUUCAAUGCGGACAUCUAAGUUGAAGGAAAGAUUCAUCGCUGGCAGAUGGGGAUGCGUCCGAUUAGCUUGCCGGCGGGGUAACGGCCCACCGGGGCGACGAUCGGUAGGGGUUCUGAGAGGAAGGUCCCCCACACUGGUACUGAGACACGGACCAGACUCCUACGGGAGGCAGCAGUGAGGAAUAUUGGUCAAUGGGCGUAAGCCUGAACCAGCCAAGUAGCGUGCAGGAUGACGGCCCUACGGGUUGUAAACUGCUUUUAUGCGGGGAUAAAGUCACCCACGUGUGGGUGUUUGCAGGUACCGCAUGAAUAAGGACCGGCUAAUUCCGUGCCAGCCGCCGC
This 508-nucleotide ribosomal RNA is filed under the name uncultured bacterium. RNAcentral describes it as "bacterial SSU rRNA". It matches the Rfam family "Bacterial small subunit ribosomal RNA", at positions 19 to 518 of the family's 1533-position model. The record is from RNAcentral.